CCAGCACCCGCGGUAAUUCCAGCUCCAAUAGCGUAUAUUAAAGUUGUUGCAGUUAAAAAGCUCGUAGUUGGAUUUCUGGUCGGGGCGGUCGGUCCGGCGUUCCCUCUGUGGGCGUCGCGCACCAUGUCCUGCUCCGGCCAUCGUCGGGGAAGGCGGCGCUGGCAUUGAGUUGUCGGCGUCGCGUCGGCCCCGUCAUUUACUGUGAGCAAAAUAGAGUGUUCAAAGCAGGCUUACGCCGUUGAAUACAUUAGCAUGGAAUAAUAAGAUACGACCUUGGGUCUAUUUUGUUGGUUUGCGGUCCGAGGUAAUGAUUAAUAGGGACAGUUGGGGGUAUUCGUAUUCAAUUGUCA
Molecule: ribosomal RNA, 350 nt
Filed under: uncultured eukaryote
Lineage: Eukaryota
Description: SSU rRNA
Rfam family: Eukaryotic small subunit ribosomal RNA
Source: RNAcentral